CCUACGGGUGGCAGCAGUGAGGAAUAUUGGGCAAUGGGGGCAACCCUGACCCAGCCAUGCCGCGUGAGUGAAGAAGGUCUUCGGAUUGUAAAGCUCUUUCGGUCGUGACGAUGAUGACGGUAGCGUCUAAUGAAGCUCCGGCCAACUUCGAGCCAGCAGCCGCGGUAAUACGAAGGGUGCGAGCGUUGUUCGGAUUUACUGGGUGUAACGGGCGUGCAGCCGGGAAGACAAGUCAGCUGUGAAAUCCCGCGGCUCAACCUCGGAACUGCAUUUGAAACUGUUUUUCUUGAGUACCGGAGAGGUCAUCGGAAUUCCUUGUGUAGCGGUGAAAUGCGUAGAUAUAAGGAAGAACACCAGUGGCGAAGGCGGAUGACUGGACGGCAACUGACGGUGAGGCGCGAAAGCGUGGGGAGCAAACAGGAUUAGAUACCCGGGUAGUC
This 440-nucleotide ribosomal RNA is filed under the name uncultured bacterium. RNAcentral's name for it is "partial 16S ribosomal RNA". It matches the Rfam family "Bacterial small subunit ribosomal RNA", at positions 338 to 795 of the family's 1533-position model. The record is from RNAcentral.